Molecule: unclassified non-coding RNA, 172 nt
Filed under: uncultured fungus
Lineage: Eukaryota; Fungi
Description: sequence contains ITS1
Source: RNAcentral
GUAUGUUGUUAUUUAAAGUCAACCAUUUAUCAGGCAAACACUUUUUCCCCUCGUAGUUUCCUAGAUAGUUGUGAUCGUUUGGUUGUCAAGUGCUUUCCCCCCCCAAAAGGAGAGAAAAAACACUUAAGUAUAAAAUUCUUUGAUGAUCCCUCCGCAGGUUCACCUACGGAGA